GAGGAGAACAGGGGUCCUGGUGGUCUGU
Molecule: non-coding RNA, 28 nt
Filed under: Homo sapiens (human)
Lineage: Eukaryota; Metazoa; Chordata; Mammalia; Primates; Hominidae
Source: RNAcentral